Gadus macrocephalus (Pacific cod) is the source of this 3656-nucleotide long non-coding RNA. RefSeq lists it as uncharacterized. The record is from RefSeq and is a predicted model, not a curated record. The transcript is spliced from 2 exons. Lineage: Eukaryota; Metazoa; Chordata; Actinopteri; Gadiformes; Gadidae.
AUCAUGUGUCAGACAUGCAAACGGCGCACUUUUUUUAUCAUACAUUUUGGGGACCUGUGUGGUUCGUGCAAAUCCGAAGAGUUUUUUUUUUGGGGGGGGAGGGUGCGUCGAUCGGUGCGCGCGUACAGGUGUCAAUAUUCCGUAAUCUGACUGACUGAGACCCCCGUGCCUUCGAAGUAAAGAAAAGUGAUUCCGGAAAUGAUUUUGUUAUGGUACCAAUCACAGCCCUUGCCGUCGCGUCGAAAUAUUGGAUGCGCAUGCGCACGGUAGAGCUUAGAUCGGGCUAAGAAAAUCAAGCCCGACCCCGACCCUCUGCACGUUCUGUCCUGACACAUUAACUGUAAUUAUGAGCCCUGGCCAUAGCCACGGGAACGUAUUCUCAGCAGGGGGUGCUGGAAAAAAAAAACUCAGCCUGCACUAGACUCGCAACUCGCUACAUUGAUAAAAAAGAUAUAUAGCAGCGCAGCUCAAUUACACCAGUGCAUGCGCGCGCAGAAAAAUCGAUCGUUGUGUUCACACCAUGGUUCACAUCCAGCUGCUCACAGAACAAGUUAAGCGCACCACCGCUCCCCUCACACUUUUUCAUAUAACUUUUUUUCAGCACUAAAAUGAGCAUUAAAUAAAUGCUGCGUCUCAAAAUGCCUUGGACAGCAGCAACGAUGACCCGCUUUGCCACGGGCCGAAACUGUGCGGAGCGACCACAGCCAGAGCGAACACAGCGGGGCAGAGGAGUGUCAGGAAUAGUCUUUGGUGUACACAUCAGUACGGCCUAUUUGCACUACUGUUUAGUGGCAAUGCAGUGUUUUAUUCUAUGCCUUUUUAUUUUCGUAUAUUAUUUCAAUGAAUACAAUUUAUUUAUUUAUAAAAACAAGAUCUGGUCUUCAAAUCUUUUUUCCAAAUAUAGGUCGUCUUACAAUGGGGUUUGUGUUUAUUUUCGGACCAAUACGGUACAGCGGGCGCUCACAUGACGUUAAGCAUUUCCUGGUGCAUAAUGUGACGCUUCAGAAAUUAAAAUCCCGUUUCUCCCCGUUGACACGACAACACAUAACCGGCGUUUUCAGAAAUCUCCACUUUGGACGGAGUUUUUAGAAAUAAUCGUUUUCUGUGAUAAGAUAGGGCCUCAGACAGGGGGUGCUGCAGCACCCCCAGCACCCCUACUUCCCGCGGUACUGGCCCUAGCCCGAUUUCAACCCGACAUUUAUUUUAACACAUAUGUAACUUUGUACACAUUUGUUACUAGGCCUACACGGCUAAAUACAUAUGUAAGGGAUAAUGUAUAGAACGCCGGUCAUUAUCGGGAAAAUAAGCCCCGACAGGGCGAACAGUAGGCCUACACCGACGCGCAGCGAAGGCGUCUUGCUUCGCCCUGAAGGGGCUUAUUUUCGAAAAUGACCGGCGACGUUCUAUACAUGAUCCCACUUAUUACACGGCUACUUGCCAAAACUAAAGAAAUAACUUUACAUGGUGCGCCUUUUUACAAUUUAUUCGUAACUUACCAGCAUUCAUUCAUCAUUUUUUCACAAUGUCUUGUUUUUAAAAGAUUUAUGAUGACUUUAUGCUCUGUAAGGUGACCUUGGGUGGCUUGAAAGGCGCCUCUAAAUUAAAUGUAUUAUUAUUAUUAUUAUUCGUAGUGUUGAUCAGCAGAGCAAUAAUAAAUUGUCCGCAAAGACGGUGACGUCGCUUAGCAACAGAAGACACUGGGGUUAACAAGUCACCGGACUAGCUACCAAAGUGAACGGAGUGUUCCACGGCAUUGAGAAGACCUGUGUAAUAAAGGCCUAUAAUAUUUCUGUUUAUGGCAUAGAUUUCUCCUCAGAUUAGGCCAAUAAACCAAUGAUAAAAAAAAAAUAAAAAUGCUUGAUCAAAGGCCCGGCCCGACCAGGCCCGAGGAUAGUGGUGGGAAAAUAUCGGAGAAGGAUGCACUUAUUGUGCAGCAGGACGCAGGGUGCAAGUGCAGUUGGAAGUGGUCAUGGCUAAAAUUAGAAGCCACGACUGAGGUGAAUACAGUGAAGCAUAACUUUCCACUGUCUGACUUUUUCAAAAAAAUUGAGAAAAGAGGAUGUGCUAAAUGCACACACUGCAUUAAAGAAAUGAAUUAUGCCAGCAGGGGUGUACAUGCCCUGUAUGCACACUGUAAGGCAGACAUUCAUCGGAGGAAAGUGACAACAACAAUAACUACACAAAGUGUUGCACAGCUUCUCCGAAACCCUCCUCCAGAAACCCCCUAAGCAGCAGAUAAGAUCAGGGACAGUGCCAGGCCUAUACUGCCAGUACCUGUACCUGUGAUCGCAUAUCCAAUGCAGAGGUGUGUGUUUGUGUGUGUGUGAAAAUAAAUUAACUUAGUUUAAAAAGGCACUUUAACCGAGUAACUAAUAUAUUUUUUAUCUUUCUAGGCAUAUAGCAUAGGCCUUCUCAUGAUAAUAGGAUAUAAUGCCGUCAUAUUUUUUCCGACUUCGGGUAGCUCUCUCUUUUUUUGUCAUACAUGUGUUUGCAUCCCUGAUGUGUGAUAAUGACACAUUAUCACACAUGCAAACACACACACACACACAUGAGGGGGCGGAUGGGGGGGGGGUGAGAGUGAGGGUGAGGGAGGAGGGUGAGCAUGCGUUACACACACAUCUCUGCUGUGUUGUAGAGGAGCUGCUCUGGCCUGAUCAGGAUCGGAGGGGGGGUACAGACUGAUGUACAUGUGUGGGAUGGCUCAACGGGCUGGGUGGGUCUAUGUUUUCUCAGAUGGUCCAGAUGGCACUGCCAUUGGUCCUUUCCGUUAUCAUGCUCUAUGUGGUCAUCAAGUUAUCUCCCUGUGUGUUUCACCGGAUGACCGCCCCCCAACCGCCCCCCCCGGGGACUGCCCCGAUCUUGUUGCCCCCCCUCAGGGUAGCUGUGUUAGAGAGCCCCCCCCCUCCCGUCGUAAGGUCUGGUGCCCCAAACUUCCCCCCGUUUCUAAGGCUAAGCCUUCCUCUGGGCCCUUUAGUGUUGUUCAGACCAACAGAACCACUUUUCUGCUGGGGACAGUGAGAGCUGUCAGAGGAAGGUGGAGCUUCACUGCCCAGUAGAGGGCGGUGUCUGGACAGUCCAUUUCCUUUAUUUUACAAUUUAAAUCUGCUUUGGUUUAAUCAUGAAUAACCUAAUGAGUUUUUUAUUUUUUAAUUAACCUACUGCCUUUUAUGCUUCAUUUUGUUGAUUUAUUUAAUUGUUAAUUGUUUACCAGUAGAUAAACUGAAUUCUCCUUUAAAGGGUGAUCUUUAAACUACGUUUAAUAUGAUCAUGAGAGAAGAAUGUAGAAUGUUGGUGUAUUUUAGUGUCUCUCUGUGUCCACAUCUCUUAGUCUAGGAACAGGCCAGUGCCUCUCCUACUGUAUGAAGUGUUAUUUCCAACAUUCUGCCAUUUGUGAUGUCCCAACAAGGACGAACCAACCCUGUCGUCUGGGACACAGCCAGGACACAUACCUUAUCAAGGGAGACUGUUAUUUUGUUAUUCACGCUUUCUUUCCUAUAAUACUGGCCCCAACCCUUUUGGUUUGGUGAGAAGAGGGAUGGACAGCCAAAGAGCACGUCUGGAGACUGCUCCUCACCUCUUACACUGAGACUAUCCCACCUAAGUCUGUACCUGUGCUGUAUUACAUCCUCCAAUAAACCUUCUUUUCAACCCUCUGA